UGAUCUUGGCUNCCGGUUGAACGCUGGCGGCGUGCUUAACACAUGCAAGUCGAGCGGUAAGGCCCUUCGGGGUACACGAGCGGCGAACGGGUGAGUAACACGUGGGUGAUCUGCCCUGCACUUCGGGAUAAGCCUGGGAAACUGGGUCUAAUACCGGAUAUGACCUUCGGCUGCAUGGCUGAGGGUGGAAAGGUUUACUGGUGCAGGAUGAGCCCGCGGCCUAUCAGCUUGUUGGUGGGGUAAUGGCCUACCAAGGCGACGACGGGUAGCCGACCUGAGAGGGUGACCGGCCACACUGGGACUGAGACACGGCCCAGACUCCUACGGGAGGCAGCAGUGGGGAAUAUUGCACAAUGGGCGAAAGCCUGAUGCAGCGACGCCGCGUGAGGGAUGACGGCCUUCGGGUUGUAAACCUCUUUCAGCAGGGACGAAGCGAAAGUGACGGUACCUGCAGAAGAAGCACCGGCCAACUACGUGCCAGCAGCCGCGGUAAUACGA
This 498-nucleotide ribosomal RNA is filed under the name Rhodococcus sp. A2Y7'. RNAcentral describes it as "bacterial SSU rRNA". It matches the Rfam family "Bacterial small subunit ribosomal RNA", at positions 14 to 528 of the family's 1533-position model. The record is from RNAcentral. Lineage: Bacteria; Bacillati; Actinomycetota; Actinomycetes; Mycobacteriales; Nocardiaceae.